This 254-nucleotide ribosomal RNA is filed under the name uncultured bacterium. RNAcentral's name for it is "partial 16S ribosomal RNA". It matches the Rfam family "Bacterial small subunit ribosomal RNA", at positions 524 to 776 of the family's 1533-position model. The record is from RNAcentral.
GACGGAGGAUGCAAGCGUUAUCCGGAAUUAUUGGGCGUAAAGCGUCCGCAGGUGGACAUACAAGUCUGCUGUCAAAGUGCAGAGCUUAACUCUGUAAAGGCGGUGGAAACUGUAGGUCUUGAGUAUGGUAGGGGUAGAGGGAAUUCCCGGUGUAGCGGUGAAAUGACGUAGAUAUCGGGAAGAACACCAGUGGCGAAAGCGCUCUACUGGGCCAUAACUGACACUGAGGGACGAAAGCUAGGGGAGCGAAAGGG